RNAcentral lists this ribosomal RNA (495 nucleotides) under uncultured bacterium. RNAcentral describes it as "partial 16S ribosomal RNA". It matches the Rfam family "Bacterial small subunit ribosomal RNA", at positions 30 to 507 of the family's 1533-position model. The record is from RNAcentral.
UGAACGCUGGCGGCGUGCCUAAUACAUGCAAGUCGAGCGAACGGACGAGAAGCUUGCUUUUCUGAUGUUAGCGGCGGACGGGCGAGUAACACGUGGAUAACCUACCUAUAAGACUGGGAUAACUUCGGGAAACCGGAGCUAAUACCGGAUAAUAUUUUGAACCGCAUGGUUCAAAAGUGAAAGACGGUCUUGCUGUCACUUAUAGAUGGAUCCGCGCUGCAUUAGCUAGUUGGUAAGGUAACGGCUUACCAAGGCAACGAUGCAUAGCCGACCUGAGAGGGUGAUCGGCCACACUGGAACUGAGACACGGUCCAGACUCCUACGGGAGGCAGCAGUAGGGAAUCUUCCGCAAUGGGCGAAAGCCUGACGGAGCAACGCCGCGUGAGUGAUGAAGGUCUUCGGAUCGUAAAACUCUGUUAUUAGGGAAGAACAUAUGUGUAAGUAACUGUGCACAUCUUGACGGUACCUAAUCAGAAAGCCACGGCUAACUACGUG